GCGCUCGAGGCCGCUAGAGAGCGAACAGCCGAAGGAGGCGGGGAGGCGGCGGUAGCACUCGCUCGCCUGCUCGCUCGUUUCCCGGCACCGUUGCGGGACCGUCGCUGCGCUUCUUGCCCUCCAGCCGCUCCGUGGCGCGCCGCCGGAGCAGCCGCCCCUCGGCCGGGUCCCCACUCCGGUCAGGAGUCGUGCGCACCCGCGGACACCGCGCGGAGGGCGAGCCGGCGCCACACCUGUGGAGCCGGCGGGCGUCGGGGGUCCCGGCCGGGGUCCCGCCGCGUGCGUGCUCGGGGCUGCGGGCCUCCCGGGCGCUGGGGGAGGCGCGUCCCCCGGCUGGGCGACGCGGGCACUAUGGGGCUCCCCGCGCUCGAAUUCAGCGACUGCUGCCUCGACAGCCCGCACUUCCGAGAGACGCUCAAGUCGCACGAAGCGGAGCUGGACAAGACCAACAAAUUCAUCAAGGAGCUCAUCAAGGACGGGAAGUCACUCAUCAGCGCGCUCAGGAAUUUGUCUUUGGCGAAGAGGAAAUUUGCCGAUUCCUUAAAUGAAUUCAAAUUUCAGUGCAUAGGAGAUGCAGAAACAGAUGAUGAAAUGUGUAUAGCAAGGUCUUUGCAGGAGUUUGCCACUGUCCUCAGGAAUCUUGAAGAUGAGCGGAUACGGAUGAUUGAGAAUGCCAGCGAGGUGCUCAUCACUCCCUUGGAGAAGUUUCGAAAGGAGCAGAUUGGGGCUGCCAAGGAAGCCAAGAAGAAGUAUGACAAGGAGACAGAAAAGUAUUGUGGCAUCUUAGAAAAACACCUAAAUUUGUCUUCCAAGAAGAAAGAAUCUCAGCUUCAGGAGGCAGACAGCCAAGUAGACUUGGUCCGGCAGCAUUUCUAUGAAGUAUCGCUGGAGUAUGUCUUCAAGGUGCAGGAAGUCCAAGAGAGAAAGAUGUUUGAGUUCGUGGAACCUCUACUGGCAUUCUUGCAAGGACUCUUCACUUUCUAUCACCAUGGUUAUGAACUGGCCAAGGAUUUCAGUGACUUCAAGACUGAGUUGACCAUUAGCAUACAGAACACAAGAAAUCGCUUUGAAGGCACCAGGUCAGAAGUGGAAUCACUGAUGAAAAAGAUGAAGGAGAAUCCCCUCGAGCACAAGACCAUCAGUCCCUACACCAUGGAAGGGUACCUGUACGUUCAGGAGAAACGUCACUUUGGAACUUCUUGGGUGAAGCACUACUGUACAUAUCAACGGGAUUCCAAACAAAUCACCAUGGUACCAUUUGACCAAAAGUCAGGAGGAAAGGGGGGAGAAGAUGAAUCCGUCACCCUGAAAUCCUGCACCCGGCGGAAAACAGACUCUAUCGAGAAGAGGUUUUGCUUUGAUGUAGAAGCAGUAGACAGGCCAGGGGUUAUCACCAUGCAGGCGUUGUCAGAAGAGGACCGGAGGCUCUGGAUGGAAGCCAUGGAUGGCCGGGAGCCUGUAAGUAACAAUUCAGGGAAGUAGAACAGAAAUAUAGGCCGUGAGUUGUUUGUUGCUUCCCAAGUGCAGUGA
Molecule: RNA transcript, 1530 nt
Organism: Odobenus rosmarus divergens (Pacific walrus)
Lineage: Eukaryota; Metazoa; Chordata; Mammalia; Carnivora; Odobenidae
Gene name: rho GTPase-activating protein 26-like
Exons: 11
Source: RefSeq, a predicted model, not a curated record